GCCAGGGUGGUGUAGUGGUUUGAGCAUUGGACUGCAACUCUGAAGACCAGGUUUGAAAUCCCAGCUCGGCCA
Non-coding RNA from Phrynosoma platyrhinos (Desert horned lizard), 72 nucleotides. The record is from the annotation of a GenBank genome assembly. Lineage: Eukaryota; Metazoa; Chordata; Lepidosauria; Squamata; Phrynosomatidae.